This 67-nucleotide transfer RNA is filed under the name Cornufer vitianus (Fiji ground frog). RNAcentral's name for it is "Platymantis vitianus (Fiji ground frog) tRNA-Gly". The record is from RNAcentral. Lineage: Eukaryota; Metazoa; Chordata; Amphibia; Anura; Ceratobatrachidae.
AUCUUCUUAGUAUAUUAGUAUAAGUGACUUCCAAUCACUUGGCCUCGACUAGCCCCGAGAGAAGAUA